AGUGGACUGGAGAAGCAGAGCGUGGUUAGUGGGAGCCGUGCGGUGAUGGACCUCCUGGUUGAACUCUGCCUUCAGAACCACCUGAAUCCCUCUCACUGGGCAACAUCUCUGGAAUGUCUAUGAAGUCAGACAUGAAGAAGCGCAGAGCCCCUCCUCCUCCAAGUCCCGGGCUGCUGGGUCAAGACAAGGUAUCAGAAAAGGCCUCCCUCAGCUCGCAGGCCGAUCUUCAGAAGAAGAAGAGGCGGGCGCCAGCUCCUCCUCCACCACAGCCGCCACCACCAAGUCCUGUGGUUCCCAACCGCAAGGAAGAUAAGGAAGAGAACAGGAAGAGCACAGUGGUUUAUUGCUGUGCGUCGUUCCCUACUCAUGCCAAGCGCUCCUGAUGGACAGGCCUCUUCCUGCCUCAGGCUUUUCCUGGUGUCUCUGCUGUCCUGGCUCUGAUGUUGCUGUCGUUCUACGU
This 460-nucleotide long non-coding RNA is filed under the name Rattus norvegicus (Norway rat). Its description in RNAcentral is "long non-coding RNA NONRATT010149". The record is from RNAcentral. Lineage: Eukaryota; Metazoa; Chordata; Mammalia; Rodentia; Muridae.